Molecule: ribosomal RNA, 122 nt
Filed under: Otolemur garnettii (small-eared galago)
Lineage: Eukaryota; Metazoa; Chordata; Mammalia; Primates; Galagidae
Source: RNAcentral
CAUGGUAUUUAUGGCCAUACAUCCUGCAUGGCCCUGACCUAGUCUGAUCUUGGAAGUUAAGCAGGGUUAGCACUUGGUUAGUACUUGGAUGGGUAACCUGCAUUGCUCAAGGAAUGCAAUGA